UGGGGGAUAUUGCACAAUGGGCGAAAGCCUGAUGCAGCGACGCCGCGUGGGGGAUGAAGGCUUUCGGGUUGUAAACCUCUUUCGCUAUCGAACAAGGCCCGCUUAGGGUGGGUUGAGGGUAGGUGGAGAAGAAGCGCCGGCUAACUACGUGCCAGCAGCCGCGGUAAUACGUAGGGCGCGAGCGUUGUCCGGAAUUAUUGGGCGUAAAGGGCUUGUAGGCGGCUUGUUGCGCCUGCUGUGAAAACGCGGGGCUUAAAUUCGCGCGUGCAGUGGGUACGGGCAGGCUUGAGUGUGGUAGGGGUGACUGGAAUUCCAGGUGUAGCGGUGGAAUGCGCAGAUAUCUGGAGGAACACCGAUGGCGAAGGCAGGUCACUGGGCCAUUACUGACGCUGAGGAGCGAAAGCAUGGGUAGCGAACAGG
Molecule: ribosomal RNA, 420 nt
Filed under: bacterium
Lineage: Bacteria
Description: partial 16S ribosomal RNA
Rfam family: Bacterial small subunit ribosomal RNA
Source: RNAcentral